This 570-nucleotide ribosomal RNA is filed under the name uncultured bacterium. RNAcentral describes it as "bacterial SSU rRNA". It matches the Rfam family "Bacterial small subunit ribosomal RNA", at positions 57 to 622 of the family's 1533-position model. The record is from RNAcentral.
GCAAGUCGUGGGGCAGCGCGGGUAGCAAUACCUGGCGGCGACCGGCAAACGGGUGCGGAACACGUACGCAACCUUCCUUUAAGCGGGGAAUAGCCCAGGGAAACUUGGAUUAAUACCCCAUAGAAAUGUUGGGUGGCAUCACUUAACAUUUAAAGCUCCGGCACUUAAAGAUGGGCGUGCGGCUGAUUAGGUAGUUGGCGGGGUAACGGCCCACCAAGCCGACGAUCAGUAACUGGUGUGAGGGCACGACCAGUCACACGGGCACUGAGACACGGGCCCGACUCCUACGGGAGGCAGCAGUAAGGAAUAUUGGUCAAUGGACGCAAGUCUGAACCAGCCAUGCCGCGUGGAGGAUGAAGGCCCUCUGGGUUGUAAACUUCUUUUAUUGGGGAAGAACUCUGGAUUUUCCAAUUCAGUUGACGGUACCCGAUGAAUAAGCACCGGCUAACCCCGUGCCAGCAGCCGCGGUAAUACGGAGGGUGCAAGCGUUAUCCGGAUUCACUGGGUUUAAAGGGUGCGUACGUGGGCAGGUAAGUCACUGGUGAAAUCUCCGGGCUUAACCCGGAAACU